UCGACAGGCUUAACACAUGCAAGUCGAGGGGCAGCACAGGUAGCAAUACCGGGUGGCGACCGGCGCACGGGUGAGUAACGCGUAUGCAACUUGCCUAUCAGAGGGGGAUAACCCGGCGAAAGUCGGACUAAUACCGCAUGAAGCAGGGGCCCCGCAUGGGGAUAUUUGCUAAAGAUUCAUCGCUGAUAGAUAGGCAUGCGUUCCAUUAGGCAGUUGGCGGGGUAACGGCCCACCAAACCGACGAUGGAUAGGGGUUCUGAGAGGAAGGUCCCCCACAUUGGUACUGAGACACGGACCAAACUCCUACGGGAGGCAGCAGUGAGGAAUAUUGGUCAAUGGCCGAGAGGCUGAACCAGCCAAGUCGCGUGAGGGAUGAAGGUUCUAUGGAUCGUAAACCUCUUUUAUAAGGGAAUAAAGUGCGGGACGUGUCCCGUUUUGUAUGUACCUUAUGAAUAAGGAUCGGCUAACUCCGUGCCAGCAGCCGCGGUAAUACGGAGGAUCCGAGCGUUAUCCGGAUUUAUUGGGUUUAAAGGGUGCGUAGGCGGCCUUUUAAGUCAGCGGUGAAAGUCUGUGGCUCAACCAUAGAAUUGCCGUUGAAACUGGGGGGCUUGAGUAUGUUUGAGGCAGGCGGAAUGCGUGGUGUAGCGGUGAAAUGCAUAGAUAUCACGCAGAACCCCGAUUGCGAAGGCAGCCUGCCAAGCCAUUACUGACGCUGAUGCACGAAAGCGUGGGGAUCAAACAGGAUUAGAUACCCUGGUAGUCCACGCAGUAAACGAUGAUCACUAGCUGUUUGCGAUACACUGUAAGCGGCACAGCGAAAGCGUUAAGUGAUCCACCUGGGGAGUACGCCGGCAACGGUGAAACUCAAAGGAAUUGACGGGGGCCCGCACAAGCGGAGGAACAUGUGGUUUAAUUCGAUGAUACGCGAGGAACCUUACCCGGGUUUGAACGCAUUCGGACCGAGGUGGAAACACCUUUUCUAGCAAUAGCCGUUUGCGAGGUGCUGCAUGGUUGUCGUCAGCUCGUGCCGUGAGGUGUCGGCUUAAGUGCCAUAACGAGCGCAACCCUUGCCACUAGUUACUAACAGGUUAGGCUGAGGACUCUGGUGGGACUGCCAGCGUAAGCUGCGAGGAAGGCGGGGAUGACGUCAAAUCAGCACGGCCCUUACAUCCGGGGCGACACGCGUGUUACAAUGGCGUGGACAAAGGGAUGCCACCUGGCGACAGGGAGCGAAUCCCCAAACCACGUCUCAGUUCGGAUCGGAGUCUGCAACCCGACUCCAUGAAGCUGGAUUCGCUAGUAAUCGCGCAUCAGCCAUGGCGCGGUGAAUACGUUCCCGGGCCUUGUACACACCGCCCGUCAAGCCAUGGGAGCCGGGGGUACCUGAAGUCCGUAACCGAAAGGAUCGGCCUAGGGUAAAACUGGUGACUGGGG
This 1434-nucleotide ribosomal RNA is filed under the name uncultured organism. RNAcentral's name for it is "SSU rRNA". It matches the Rfam family "Bacterial small subunit ribosomal RNA". The record is from RNAcentral.